UCCUCUUGACUGGUCACUUGACAGCUGGACACCGUAAGGACAGGUCGCUGAUAUUUGUGAUGAAGUCGCACAGCCGGGAUUUUUAUUCAGCUUCGAAAAUUGCAAAAAAAUCGUAAUUUGGAACAUUAACGAGAGAAAACUAUAACUGCAAACGCCUUUGCCGAGAUCCUGCUGAGUGCACGUGCGCCUGACUAAAGAUUCCCUGGUCUCCGAGACGUAUUUUAAAAUCUGCCGCAGAUCCACAUCCAUUCGCACCGCAGAUGCUAUUUGUUGAAAAUUGUACAUGGUCUCUCUCUCUCUCUCUCUCUCUCUCUCUCUGAUUUUUAACCACUUUUUAACAUAUUGAAACAGAGCGAUCGUGUUCCCUUUAGAAAUUUCACUUAGAAAUCGUUCCUUUGUUUUUUAAUAUAUAUUAUACCCUAGGGACUGACCAUGAUAUUUUUAAAAUUAUACCUUAGGGCAUGCUAUG
Lingula anatina is the source of this 469-nucleotide long non-coding RNA. Lineage: Eukaryota; Metazoa; Brachiopoda; Lingulata; Lingulida; Lingulidae. The record is from RefSeq and is a predicted model, not a curated record.